GAGGAAUAUUGGUCAAUGGACGAAAGUCUGAACCAGCCAUGCCGCGUGAAGGAUGAAGGCGUUCUGCGUUGUAAACUUCUUUUAUCAGGGAAGAAACCACUGAUUUCUAUCGGUGUUGACGGUACCUGAGGAAUAAGCACCGGCUAACUCCGUGCCAGCAGCCGCGGUAAUACGGAGGGUGCAAGCGUUAUCCGGAUUUACUGGGUUUAAAGGGUGCGUAGGCGGUCUAUUAAGUCAGGGGUGAAAUCCCGGGGCUCAACCCCGGAACUGCCUUUGAUACUAUUAGACUUGAAUUAUGUUGAGGUCGGCGGAAUAUAACAUGUAGCGGUGAAAUGCAUAGACAUGUUAUAGAACACCGAUUGCGAAGGCAGCUGACUAAACAUUAAUUGACGCUGAGGCACGAAAGCGUGGGGAUCAAACA
This 421-nucleotide ribosomal RNA is filed under the name uncultured bacterium. Its description in RNAcentral is "bacterial SSU rRNA". It matches the Rfam family "Bacterial small subunit ribosomal RNA", at positions 356 to 774 of the family's 1533-position model. The record is from RNAcentral.